CCCUUAGAUGUUCUGGGCCGCACGCGCGCUACACUGAUGCAUUCAACGAGUCUAAAACCUGCUCUGAUAGGGGUGGGUAAUCUUUUGAAUGUGCAUCGUGAUUGGGAUAGAUGAUUGCAAUUUUUCAUCUUCAACGAGGAAUGCCUAGUAAACGCAAGUCAUCAGCUUGCAUUGAUUACGUCCCUGCCCUUUGUACACACCGCCCGUCGCUCCUACCGAUUGAAUGAUCCGAUGAAUAUCAUAGACUGAGAGUAUAAGCAGGUUCGCCUGUCUUUGCUUCUCGGGAAGUGAAGUAAAUCUUAUCAUUUAGAGGAAGGAGAAGUCGUAACA
Molecule: ribosomal RNA, 330 nt
Filed under: uncultured eukaryote
Lineage: Eukaryota
Description: partial 18S ribosomal RNA
Rfam family: Eukaryotic small subunit ribosomal RNA
Source: RNAcentral